CAAGGGGAAUUCUUUAGGGCUUUUAAUAAAGAAAACAAAUGAAUUUUUAAAAGAAAUAAUUUUAAAAUCCGUUCUUAAAAUCAGCAACUAAACGAAUCAAUAGGAUAAUUCUAUCAAAAACUCCUUUUUUAAUAGUAAUAAUAAUAAUAUUAAUCCAUCCCAAAUUGGGCUUUAGGCUAUGGGCCUUAUAUCAGAUCCACGGUUACAAAAUGAAGAAAACACAGACAACAACACCGGUGACUUGAGAUCAGAACUGAGCAGUGGUCAGAAACUGGGAGCCACACCACUACAACCGGCGAUUACAAAAAACACUGCUUCGAGGCUACGUCGGCGAGAUCGUCUCUUUGACCAGAGUAAUCGAUUUCUUUCGCAAAGUCAAUCCCACCGACAAACCUGAACCCACAACAUGUUUCCCGAAAUGAAUCGAUUCCCAGAAAAUCUGAUACUCCUCCCCUCUAGUCCCCUACCUAGCAAAAAGAGAGAAUGCAGAUCUAUCCCUCAGUCUCCGGCGUCGACCAUCCAACGUGAAAUCUCUGAAACCUAGCUAUCUUAAGAUCCGGUCAAGGAAACGCAAAAUCUUUGGAGCUGAGAGCGACGGCGGCUCAAACCAUAACACUCAUCAUCCAGAUUCCGAGAUUAGCCAUCAGAUCCAGAUAGAUCUAAUGUUAAAAGCCUUGACAAGCAGCAAAAAACCCACCGAUUCGUUAGGUUCCGCCGCAACCACAACUACCACCACGAGCAAUUAACCGAGAGCAACCUCUUCCACGAAACCACCAACGUCCUUGACCAGAAGCAAAAUAUACAGAGUCUUCUCCAUACCGCCGUAAUAGUCACCACAAAUGCAAUACCAACGAAUACUCCACACCCAACGCUGCCGGAGAAGAAAGCCGGCCCACUCCCGUUUAACCGAGCAAUUUCACGCAUGCGAUGAAGAACCAGAAGCAAAAAGAAAAAAUGAAACGAAAAAGCUAGAUCUGGUUUUUGAGGAGAGAGAAGAGAGAGAAACGUGGGGAACAAUUGGCCCUCGUAUCUAUCAGAAAAAAAGAAGAAGAAGAAAUCUUAUCCAAAAAACUCUUCAAUCCCAAACAAAGCAACUAAUCGAGCAAGAAGAAAUCAAAUCAAAAGCAAAACGAAAUCAUAAACAUAAAUAGAGAAGUCAUAGGGUUAAGAAUACUCAUCUAUGAGAUACAAAAGAAGGAUUCGUCUCCCUUGAAGCAAUAGAACGAAUACAAAAGAAGAAACUAUGAAAGAAAGUGUUUAGAUCUAUGGAAAUGGUGCGAGAGAGAGCUCGCAAUCAAGAGAUCGAGUUCUGUGGCGAGCUUUACGGCUAAGAGGCCGUCUUAUUUCUUCUAAGGAGUUUAGGGAUUUUCUCCAGUUGAAAUAAUUAAAGUGUUGUCGUUUUGGUACAAAGGAGUCGGAGAAUGAUUUGGCACCGAUCAAGUAGCUUGUGACCGGUCCCAUGAGUUUCUUUUUACUCUUGGUGACCGGUGUGAUUGUUCUUUGGUCAAAUCUUCAUUAUAUGCUUGCUCCCUCUAUGAGUGUAUCUUCAAUAUAUCAGUCAUAUCUCUUGAUUGGCUCAACGGUUUUGUGUCAUUCUACUUGGAGGGGAAAAGUGACUCUUUUAUAUUUCCAACGACUCCAAGAUCAUCAACUUUGGUGAAGAUAAAGUCCUUUAGUGUAUGUCAUACUUUUGAUGCUCCAAAUCUGUUAUACAAUGGGUUUUGCUCCUUUUUUGGUCUUUUUGCAUAAAAACCUAUAAAGACCUUUUCAAACUAGAGAUACUUGAAAACACCUUUUAAAGAACUAAAACCAUGUCAAACACUUCUUAAAAUCAUAAGAAAACUAUAGUAAAAAUGGAUCAAAAUACGAAAUUAUCAACUCCCCCAGAUUUAGACUUUGCUUGUCCUCAAGUAAACAAGAAAGUAAAACCGAUGGAGAGGUUUGAAAUUCAUGGGAACUCUCUUAUAUUCAGAGACCAUGUUCCAAAAGAUGACAUGCAGACUCAUAAAUACAGAAACAUCCCGUUAGAACAUUUUCAUUAUAGACUCACGACAUUCACAAUCCUGAUCCAUCCAUCUCAAACAUACAAGAGGACUCUGAGAUCACGUUAGUUAACUCUCUAUAUUCAUUAAAAAGUGGUUUGAGCUUUCUAAUUAGGAGGUGUCAUUCAGGGUAGACGUUGCUUGGUAUGAAAGGGGCUUUUUGGUGGUUGAUGGCGGAUUUAAAUGUUUAGGGUUUACCAGGUGAUAGCGAAAAUGUAGGAUAUGUAGCAAAACCGCAAGAGAAAACAGACUUGCUGAUAUCCUCAGUUUCCAACCACUUUUCGUGUAACACCUUUUUUCCUUUUAUUCUUUUUCUUUUCAAUUCCCAAGACUUAGAUUUUUCAACAUGGUUCUCUGUGAUUGACUCCAUCUCUUCUCUAAAGUGAUCCAUGUCUUUCCUUGUGACUUCUCCUCUGCCAUUAGACUCUCUUAAUCGUAACCGUUUCUUUUCCUUUCGUUUUCUUUUUCUUUUUCUCCCUUUUUUUUGAAAAGGGAAACAUAACUCUUAAUCAGUCUAAUGAAAAUAAAUUAGUACCUUUUGUUAGUCGAAUCAUGAUAACAUGAGAUUUUCACCCAUAUUUGCUAUUGUUUUCUUAUGUUUUAGGAAGCAUUUGGUGUGAUUUCAGAGCCAAGAAGGUGAUAUUCAAGAAUUUUAGGAGUCAAGAAGGUUUUAAGAGAUUUUGAGCAUUAAAGACCAAAAGGUGAUCAAAACCCAUUUCAAGACAGUUUCUAUACGUCAGAAGUAUAAUUUUCCCGUUGGUUAAGUGUAGCUCGAGUUUCUGGACCGGUUAGAAGUUUUAGUAACCGGUGGUAAGAGUAGAUGGCAGCCCGGGCACGGGCUUGAUGGCCGGUGUGGCCUUGAAUCUCUGGAACGGUCGUAUAGCUUGAGGCCGGUCUGGACAUGUCUUUAUUCUUCAGGUCGUAACUUCCUAAUGACUAAAAUGGAUUGCUAUGAUUCUACUUCGAGGCAAAUCUUGACUAUUUCAGCUUUCCACAGCCACCAAGAUCUCUGGAUUUGGUAAUCGGGAAGACCUCGACCGGACAACGCUUUUACCCCUAAACCGACUUCUUGGUCCCAAGAACUAUAAAUACUCGAUGAAAACCCUAAACCUAGGUGUGCUUCUUCGUGCCUCCUUUGUUCUUUCUUGGUGCCGUGCAAACCUUCCUCCCUUGAAGGUGCAUCCACCACGUUGAAUCUGAAGCCUUGAAGUCCACCAAAUCUCCCUCUUUACUCUGAGAUCUAUUAAGGUGAAGUCUUACCUCUUGUAUUCUAUAUUCAAAGAAGUAAUCUCUAAACCUUAUUCAGUUCUUAUUUAUCUAUUUCUUAUGAGUUUAUCAAACCUUACUUUGAUGAUCUCUUUAACCAUGAUAGAGUAGUUUUCUAGUUGGGUUUAAAGGGGGGACAUGAUCGAUCGUCUAGGUGGCAAAACUUAGGGUUUUGUUUGAUCGUUUACACUGUAAUUUUUCUAGUUAAGAUUUCGCUUAAUGCAUGUAAUUAGAUUCAUGACCCAACUCUUGAUCCCAAGUGUUUACGUUUCUCACAAGGUUGCUAAUACACUCGAACCUAACUUACGAAUGUGUAUCAUGUUAUAAAAAGCGCACACCACUUAGUUAUAGGGUUUUAUGGACUUGAGUCAAACUUGAUCUUAUUGCUUUGAUCUAUGCUUUGUUGCCUGCGUCAGUUGAGUAACAGAGUAUAGGGACUUUAGCCGACUUAUCUUAUAACCUAAGGUUAGUCGAUCUUUAGUAUUUCGUAUGUCAAAGACUUGUAAGUAAACAAACAUAAUUCUAGUAUUUCUUAGUUAGAAAGAUUAUUAAAUCCACUGCGAUCCCUUGAAUGCCCAACGUUUGUCUCAUAUUUAUUUACCUGCUAUUUACCUGCUUUCUUAUUUGAUUUCUUAUUUACUUUACUUGCAAUCGUGAAACCAACAACAACCUCUUUUUUUUUUAUUUGUCCUAGCUUUACUUUCUUCUGACGGAUUCAUUUGAACUACUUCUCUCUCUGUGGAAUUCAAUCCUUAAAUACUACAGACGAUUUACUGUGUACUUGCAGUAAUCGUGUGGUCCUUUGAGGUAAAAGACUGAAGCAGAAUAACACACACAUCAAAUCCCAAGGAAGAAUAAGCUCUAGACCAAAUCGUCACAAUCUCUUCUUAGUAUUCCGAAUUUUCCGUCUUCGUGGCGAGAAACUAUCUCGUUCUUUUCUGUCCGAUGUUUUUGCACAUAGCUACUAAAAUGAUAAAGGAAAAAGAGAAUACAUGAGGUCUAAAAGAGGUUAGGGUUUAAGGGUAGGAAACAACUAAAAGUGAGUGGCCAUUCAGGAUCAGCAGAGAGUUAUAAAAAGAGAUAAGAAGUCCUGAAUGUAUAUGCUCAUUUCCCUGAUCUUCCACUUCUUAUGAGAAAGAAUUAAGGUCCAGUUAAUCUUCCAAUAAAAUAGAGUUAACGUUAGAUCAAAUAGAAUCUUUGUAAGAUGAUACUUCAAGGGAAAGAUCCUGUUGUGAGCUUCUAUGUAUCGUCCGUUCUUAGCAAGUCCUGCAAAACAUGUCACAAACGAAUUAGAACAUAUAAAGGUCAAAUUUGAUCAUAUGAUAAGAUCAUUCCCUACUCGAUAAAAUGUAUUGAUGUUAAAAAUUGGAAAAUAUCUCAAAUCAACAAAAUAUAAAGUAGCAUUAGUAGAGGGAUGUAAUACUUCCUCAGACUUAAAUCACACCGUCUACGGUGGGAAAAAAAGAAAGAGAAGAGGAUGAAAUAGAUAAAUGGAAAAGAAAGAUAGGUUUAAGAACAAUGUCACAUACCUUGAAUGAGAUGGAAUGAUGGUAGAUGGUGGAUGGUGCAAUGACUAGCUGUAUGAUCUUUCUUGGUUUAGCUUGAGAUUGGUUUAACUCGGCUAAGUUAAUCAAAUUCUAUCUUUAUAAAUCUCUAUUUACAUCUUUCUUGAGACAAAAACCUUAACCAUUAACAGUUUUAAGAAAAUAAAAUACGAAAAACAUACCUAAGAGAUAAGGUGAUCUCAUUGUUGACGUCAAUUUGCCCAUAGUUGAGAUUAGUACCGUUGUGACGUAUGGUACAAACAGUAUACGAGACGGAUAAUCGCGGUAUCGAAAUGGGUGGGUUGCGGUGAACUUCUUGUCGGACUAGUCAUGAACAUGGUGGCUUGGCUGCACUGAUUUCGGAAUGUUGGUGGUUUCUCAUGGUGGCACCAGUGACGCGUGAUAUGAGCGGUGGUGAUCCAUUUGUUCCAUUUGUCGUUGCGGUUUUCUCCUUCGUUUUCUUGAUCUAGUCUGUGAACGGACAUAUUUUACUCGACCAUUUUCUACAAAAUAAGCAUGUUGUCAAUGAAUUUAGAAUCCCAUGGCGGUUCUUGAACUUCGAAAGCACACGUCUCGGGCGUAGCAUGGUGAAGGGUCUCAACGGAAAUCUUCAAAUCUAAACCGUAGACAACUUUUGUCGAUAUCUUCCAAAUUUCUCCGACACUUGACUUGUUUUCUUCAAUCAUUCUCUUCAUAAUAUCCACUUUCCUUGCAAUUUCUUCAUCUCAAGUAAAUCGUGCAAAGUUGAAUUUGGUGGUACGGUGAUGGCUCUUUUCUUGAUCCCACACAUUUUCGGUAGGAUCCACUUGGAUAUGUCCACGUCAUCAUUACACAAUAAUCCUCUCGGAUUUCUAGAUAUUUUAUUGGACUUGACCAGUCGGGAGUUCGAUUCAGUUUACCAAAGGAGUUCGAUUUUUACUAGUAUGGAGUUUGCUCUUAUUCAGCAUACAGUUCGUAUAGAGAAAGGCCGAAGCGAGGAGAAUACUGUUCGAGGUUCGCGGUAGCAUCAAAGCACGGGAGUUCGGAGUCAGCAAGAAAGAGUUCGGAAGGCCCAAGUGAAGCCCAAGACAAGUUCAAAUUCAAGCCGUUUCGGUCAAAAUGUAACUUAUGUGAUUAAUGCGGAUCAAUAUGAUUACGAGUAGUAAAUAUCCGCAUUAAUCAUGUUUUCUCUAUAAAAACAACCUCAAACGCAUGUGUUUGAGAGGGACAAUCUUUGACUUAUCACUAUCAAGCAAUACAACAUACUUUUUUCUCUUACAAUUCCGCAAGGCUUUUUGUAUUUUCGUUCUUAUCAAAUUCCUUUACUUUAUUCUUUUCUUGGUUAAUUUCUCUUUCGAAUUCUUAUAUUCAUUCGUUGAUUUUAGAGUUUUUCUCCACAAAAAUACUUAAAGACAAUCGAGUGUGAAUCCUACAUCCACAUUUUGGCGCCGCCUGUGGGGAGUUACCGCAAAACUCUUUAAUCUCAAAAUCUCUCUUUCUCAAACCAAGAAACUAUGGCUGAUCAGCAAGCUUUGAGCGAUGCAAUUACCUCGCUUAAUCAGACAACCACUAGUCUGACUACUCAGAUUGGUACACUCGUUGGUGCCAACACCACUUUUAGUGAAAGGUUGAACUCAAUCGAGCAAACUUUGACGAGGGUUCAAACCACUCAGGCAGAUUUAUCAAACGCGCAGAACGCAGUUUCAAGCCGUUUAAAUACUUUGCCUUCAGUAGCAGCGCGUCAGUGUAGGCUAUUCUUAACUCCCGCCCAAAACAGGACCGAGAAUACUCAAACUUUUCCAGCAUGCCAUCCUGCUAGUGCUAGCAAUCAGGCAGCCGUAGGAGAUGGGUCCAACCUAACCGGGGAAGAAAUUCCCCAAAAUCAGGGAAAUCCUGCUAUUGACGACGGAUUCCUUAUGGAAGAUCCCGAUGUCACCUUUUCAGAUGAUUUCGUCAAAGUUCGUCAAGAGCUUGAUGAAAUGAAGUCGAAGUUUCAUCAGGCGACCAGUUCGGUGCCUGAGAUCGAUCGAGUAAUCGAAGAAACUCGAUGAACACCGUUCACUUCGAGAAUCUCGAACCUUUGGAUCAAGGAUUCUCGAAAGGUCAAAUUACCAACUUAUGAUGGUAAAGGAGAUCCUAAAAAUCACCUCGCUGCUUUUCAGAUCGCUGCUGGCAGAAUUGAUCUAGAACCAGAUAAGGAAGAUGCUGGAUAUUGCAAACAAUUCUCCGAGAAUCUAUCCGGAUCGGCUCUACUAUGGUUCACUCAGUUGGAGCCUGGAACUAUUGAUAGUUUUAAGGAAUUGUCUUCUGCAUUCCUAAAACAAUAUUCCAUAUUCAUGGCAAAGGCAACCUCUGAUGCUGNNNNNNNNNNNNNNNNNNNNNNNNNNNNNNNNNNNNNNNNNNNNNNNNNNNNNNNNNNNNNNNNNNNNNNNNNNNNNNNNNNNNNNNNNNNNNNNNNNNNAAAGGGGUCGCCAGGUUGGUGUGAAGACGGCAGUGCAGCGCGCGCAAAACUAAGUUUGUGGACCGAGCGUUUCCAAAGGUCAAGGGUAACUCGGUUAUAGAAAGUGAUCUGAACACUUCAUACUUUCACAGGAAGGUUGUAGGAAGAAGAAGCAGAAACCAAGUUCACUACUUGUUGGAUGCGUCUGGUAAUAGGCUGGAAGGGAAGGAGGCAAUUCAAUCACACUGUAUUGACUUCUUCUCCUCCACUCUCGGUGAAGCUCUUUCUAUCCAAGCUCCGCAUCUCAAGCCUCACCAGGAUCAAGUGCUCCAAUGCCUUGAUUCCUUUAUUCCCCUGUUUCUGCUGAAGAAAUCGGUGGUGUAUAGCCUUCCAAGGAACAAGACCCCAGGUAGCACACCAGAUGGGUACACGGCUGAAUUCUACCAAAAGACUUGGGAUAUAACUGGCUAUGAUCUUACCUUGGCUGUCAAAGAGUUCUUCUCAUCAGGUCAGAUGCUGCAACAAUGGAACUCCACUGUUAUCUGUCUCAUUCCCAAGAAGACUAAUGCUGAGAAGGUAACAGAUUUUCGCCCAAUCUCCUGCUGUAAUGUUCUGUACAAGAUCUUCCCAAAGUUUCUGCAACUUUGCACAAUAAAGUUCGACACUCAUCGUCCCCUGGGUACAACCUACAAGUUCCUUUGUCAACUGUUGCACACGAACCCCGUUUGUAACAGAGAAACGUUUCUUGAGACUAUCCUAGAGUUCCUUCGCAAUCUCCCGAUCCGUAAUAGUCGAGCGGAUGGAAGGAUCAAUCGUGUUGUAAAUCCAUGAGACAAUCAUGGAGUUUACGUUCAGCCAAUCCUCUUCCUUUUUUCUUACUCAACGGAGAAGCAAGUCCUACUUUCCCGGGAGAAAGGUAAAUGCAUUCUUUUUGAAUGAAUACCCGCUAGCUGUAGCAAAGGAAGAAGGCAUAUAGACUCCGCCUGAUCUGAUCACAAACAUGUACUGAUUUAGUUCCAUUUAAUUGUUCCAAAAGAGUCUUCAUGUUCGUAUAGUAUGUAGAGAGAUCCGGAUUUCCUUGGCGCAGAGAAGCUAUUUCUUGUUCCAGCUGAUACACUCUCGAAGAUCAGUUGCAACUUCAUUUCAAGCUUCGUGACCUCGGUCCUCUCAAGUACUUCCUUGGGCUUGAAAUUGCUCGGUCUACAGAGGGUAUUUCAGUUUGUCAACGCAAAUAUGCUCUGGAUCUUCUUGAUGAGACAGGUUUGUUGGCUCGCUGAGACCUCUUCUAUCCCUAUGGAACCUAAUCUCAAGCUGUCUAAGGAUUCUGGUGGUGAUCUGGUUGAUGCAGAGUUGUAUCGUAGGCUUAUUGGCAGGUUGAUGUAUCUGACUAUUACUCGUCCAGAUCUCACUUUUGCUGUCAACAGGUUAAGCCAGUUCUCAUCAGCAUCUCGUACAGCCCAUAUGCAGACAGUUUACAAGGUUUUACACUAUGUGAAAGGGACAGUUGGGCAGGGUCUUUUUUAUUCUGCUACAUCUGAUCUUCAGCUCAAGGCUUUUGCUGAUUCUGACUGGGCUUCUUGUCCCGACACACGGCGCUCUGUAACUGGCUUCUGUUCAUUGGUUCCUCUCUGGUUUCUUGGCGCUCUAAGAAAGAGCAUACUGUCUCCAGGUCUUCUGCAGAGGCAGAAUAUCGAAGCCUUGCAUCUGCUGUAAGUGAAAUGGUUUGGCUCACAAAUUUCUUGCAGGAACUUGGCAUUCAAAUGAGUUCUUCUGCUCCUCCCUUUUGUGAUAACACUGCUGCCAGACAUCUUGCUAUCCUGUUUUCAGCGUACUAAACAUAUAGAGAUCGACUGUGUGUUAGAAGUUGGUUGCAGGUCUAUUCAAGCUUCUCUCCGAACUGAUCUACAAAUUGCAGAUGUUCUCACAAAGGCAUUACAUCCAACUCCUUUCCACAACUUGGUAAGUAAGAUGGGUUUGAUCUCUAUUUGAUCCCGGGGGAAUUUUGUGAUGUAAUGUGAUGAAUUGUAUAGUUGCAUCUGUGAUUGUGAUGAAUUGUAUAGUUGAGUCUGUGAACCGGUGUUGUAUAAACCGGUGUAGGUACUUUUCUCUCCUUUGGUUAAAGCUCCGGAGCCGUUCCUAGUAGUAGCUCAAUACCCUGAGUAGCUGCGAGAGUCUUCCUCCUCAGGUCGGAAUAGCCUGGCCUAGAUUGUGUGUGUAUUAGGUAGUUCUCUCUCUUUUAUAAGAAAGAACUAUUAUACAACAUCCCCAGGCUUGAGUUUUCUUCUCAACUCUUUCUAUCCAAUAGUUUACUGCUGCUUUCUUUGAUUUACCCCACAAGGAAGAAUCAGGCUUAUCCUAUUAUCUUUAUGCCAACUGUAUUUAAAUCUAUCAUCACAUUAUGAUUACACCACACCAUUCGAAAGACGAACAUCAAGAUCACAUUUCAGGGACUACAAGAUUUUGAGAUUGGCAGCAUUAAGUAGAAAGCAUUAUUGUAGAAGGGCCCCCCAUCCAAUAGAUCAGGGGUCUUGCCCUAUAACCUAGUGAAUAGGGAAGAACAGAUCAAAUAUGUCUAGUUCAAAUGUCUUUCCUUUGCGGCGGAGUGAACUAAGCACCAAUCGGAAUGCCUAGCGUGCUUGCCCCUCUUCCUUCCGCUUGCCACCUUGAUCUAGCCCUCUCGCUUGACUGACACAUGGAACUCUAAGCUUCAAGUGACACAUCCAUCUCAGUCAAACAUCUCUACCACUUUAUGCAUCUAAUUCAUUCCAGGGUUGGGUCAUUAUAACCACUUGAUCGACAGAAUGGGUGGGAAGAUGGAGUGAAGUUAGUUUUUCGAUAGCUUCCAUCGUUCCAGGGUUCGAAGGUCUGGAUCCAAAGUCAGAUAAGAAUGUUUUGCUAAUGCGGCCAAGGACAAAAAGAAUGGAAAAUGAUUUCUGUACUAAAGAUCUCAAUUCAAUAGGGGAUUCAUUGCCGAGAUACAAAUUGGGUUAUUCCGCUUGUUGAAAAACAAGACCGAAAAAGAAGCUACCUCCUUCCGUGCGCCCCUCACUUCCUAUCUUCAGAUGGACAGUGAACCAAGACAUGAAGAAGUGCAACAGAACGAACUUAUCCUUAUAUAAGAUGAAUUUUCUCUCUCUUCUACCUAUGAUCAGUAGAUUGAAGACCAACAACAUCUCGAGAAAGAAGGAAAAGAAGUAGAAUCAAUCAACGGCACCUAGAUCAUGAAACGGGCAUCUCUUUCAUCUGCCCUAGGAUCCCAUCUCUCUUCGAUUAUUCAAGUGAUUGAUAGUUACAGGACAGGGACAUCUCACUCCGCCUUGAUCUUUAUUUUUCUACGAUACGACCAAAAGAUCUCCUUAAAAAUAUCGAAGAGCGUAUAGAUCACAUUUUAAGUCGAAGCAGAGGGAAGAGGGCAUAGAGUCACCGACUAAAGCAAGCCAGGAAAGGUAAUUGCUUACAGACAGACCAGAUUUUUGAAUAGCAGCUUACUCUCAAACACCGUAUUCCGCCAAAACCAUUUACUACGCAAACAAGACCGGCAACUGGUUGAGCUGAUAGGACCACAGCUGAGAUUUACUCAAGAGCGUCUGUGGCUAAAAGACUAGCAGCAUAUUCUUUCUUCAAUUGCGACAGGAGCUCAUUCUUUCGCAGCUUAUUCGUCGUUUGGGCAAAUGGAUGUGGGAUGGAGCUUGAACUAAGGGACCCGGGGCGUAGCCUUGAUUCAAAGUGUCUAGGUACCAAGAGUAAAGGAAGGAGGGCUAACUAAUAUAAUAGGGGUAGGGGGGCGCUAACGAGCCAGAAAGGGCCCCUUUAUUAGUAAGGUUGCUUGCUUGUCACACAGGUCGUCUUUGGCUCGUCUCCUUCCGCGAUACGCACCUGGUAGUAUCCCGCCCGGCCGUAGAUCCAACUUCGAGAAGUAUCUCGCGCGGGCGAAGAAGUCUGCAAUAAAAGUGGAUACUUGUUUUUGAUAGUUAGGUUACCUUGUUGAGCGCCCGAUAAUCAAUGCACAAGGCUCCCGCUUUUUCUGGAAAGGGGCUCCCCAACCUUUUCCCAGCAGCAAUCAAUAUAGGGAAAAACUGCCUUGGAGGCUGGAAUCAAAAUAGGCCUCCAUGAGUUCCUGAAAUUUUUUCCUGAGUUCAACCAAUCCCCUUAACUAAUAGAUGCUAGUUGGGGGCCAUCCGCUUAACCCAGAGCCCCAGUCUAAAUAGUUGGGGGUUUGGCUCCAGGCUCCAACUCGAUCUUGUGGUAGACUGCCCUACUAGGGCGCACUUGGCAACUAAUUCGUGGGGCAUGAUAUCCCAAAAUUCCUCAAGUACUUGCUGCACUUCCUGAGAAAGAAGUAGUCUUGGUAUUGGAUCCGCUCUUCUGAGAGCAUGAACAUCAAUUAGAUUCAAUUCCUCUUCUUUAUUCUUAAGAGAAACCCCCCCCCCGAACCAUUCUUAAGACCACCAAGCUCUCUCGAAUGAAUUCUACUCUUUCUGCUUUCGAGAUACAAGAGUAGGCAAAUUGAUUCCCCACUAAGGUGUAAAACUUUGUGACUCGAUCGUCCUGAAAACGGAUGCGACGGGAAGAAGUGGCAUUUGUAAGUGUUGCUGACUUAACAUUUAGGUUUCGGCAUAACAAAGCUUGCACUGUCUUUUCGCACUUAGGCGCACAGCGUGCCAUUGGUAAUGAUUCUACUACGGUGCCACAAAUUCGCAAGCUGAUCCUAAGUAAUCGUUGUUGUUCAUUGGAUUCCGGAGGAACUACUUCGUUAGGAUUGGGGAAUUGCUGCGAUUCUUCCUGAAUAGCCUGGAUUCUCCCGUCGAGAGUCACUUUGAAAGUCGUACCUAAACUCUUACGACUGAAUAUGAUAAAGCCUAUAAAACAAAGAGCUACUAUCAUUUCUUCAUUAUAGAUUGAGAUCUUCUUCGAACUUAAUGCACAAAUAGAUAGAAUAGCAGCAAAUAACAUCUUUCUAGCAUCCAUAUUCGUCGAACUCAAUCUCAUUUAGAAAGCUUAUCCCCAUUUAUUUUUCAGCAACUGAACGGGAAGUGGUUUAGGAAAGGACUUUUGAAUCGGAUGCGCUCGCCCAGCGAGAAAGGCCCUGACCCUGCCGACCAAGAAAAAAAGAGAACGAAAGGAGAAGAGAACUUCGUAUUUUCCUUAUUUGAGAAGAGGUACAAAGUGACUCGACUGAAAGAAGAGGUCCGAAGGAACAAAGGAGCUCGACUGUAAGGUCCACCAGGUCUCGACGAGCGACUGAAAGGAGAGGAAUGGUUAACCUUGAAUGCUAUUAAUAAAUUCUACAGCAAUAGUACCUCGGACUCGGAAAGUUAUAACGAAAAUGGCUAACCCAAUAGCGGAUUCCGCAGCUGCCACCGUUGGAACCAAUGAAGCAAAUACUUGACCCAUCAUAUCAUCCGAAGAAACGGAAAAUACCAAAAAGUUCGAAUUCACAGCUAAUAACAUUGAUUCAAUUGGCAUUGACAUAAUAGGAAUAUUUCGUCUAUUAAGGAGGAUUCCCCGAAUACCUAAAAUAGAAAUAAUCAUAGAAAAUGUGAAAUAUUUGAUAAGAUCCAUUUCGGGAACGUGGAAUCUAAGAUAAAUUCAAAUGUUAUUAGAUGACAAGCUCGACCGAACACCUGAAGUCCUUGAUAUUUAGGUUAGGGAGACACGCGCGCAUUCCUGACAACAGGCACGGGCGAUAAUCCAGGCAAGCUUCCCCGCAAGCCUCACAACAGACACGUCCCAGCUGUCCGACCGUAGGCCCCGCUGCUGCGGCAAGGCGCGGCAGCCCUCUGACCCUGCGAAAAAGAGCUUCCCAUCGGUUCAGGCACCAUUUUUUUUGAAUAGGUGGGACUUCGGUGAUAGGUUGUUUUUGAUCCCAUGGGGGAUCUAGCGAUUUUCCCCGUUCCCCCCAAGAGGAGAUUGGUUAGGAACAGGAUGGGCAACUUCAGCCGGUGCUGGCGCCUGCGUAAGCGGCUCUUGAGCCGCUAAAGAGAACCAAUAGACACGACAGCUGGGCCAGCACCAGAAGUGGAUUUACUAAAUCCCCCUUAUCUAUUUCUGGGUAAAUAAGUUGGUGACUAACAACAAAGACAAAAAAACUUGCUACCAAGAAGACGAUGGAUAAGAGAAAAAUUAGGGUAUUUUCUCCUUCCGGUUUGACUUGAGAAAAAAAAAGGAAUAAUUUACACCGACUAAGAUCAAAGAAACUAGCAGACUAAUCACUAAAAAGGCCUUUGGUUCAAAUUGUGACAUCUAUCUUAACUUACUCAAUUAUCUCGUGAACUAUCUGCUUCAAAAAGAGAGUUGGUUGAAUGAGACUGAAACCCUCUUUCUUCGAGGAGGGCACCACUUCGACUAAUGCGGGCGCGGUUCCCUCGUCGUGAAAUAAGUAAUGAAAGGGAAGACCCGCCCCCGGUCAACUUUAUUGUUGCCUGUAUAGCUUUUUAGAACAGAGAUCUAGCAACGCAUUCUAGGCACAGAUCAUUGGUAUUGGAUGUAUCGUUAGGUUGUGCCGAGUCAAAUCUGCUCCGUUUUUUUUCCGUUGCAGAAAAGAGAUCCCUUCCCUCCGCUUUCUAAAAUGAGGAAUAUUAAGUCCGUGGGGCUGCAGGUACUAUGGAUCCUCUGACUCCCAAUCGGGUUGCCUUCCCUGGUCUCGCCGGUCUUACCUGUAGGUCAUGAUGUGCUUUGAGAUGGCCGUCUCCUGUCCCCCUGCCGGUGGGGAAUCUGCUCCCGGGUUGUCGCUCUGCUGCGUCUGGCCCGUCCUCUAGGCACCUUUGGAAGGCAGGGAGUGUGACAAGACAACAUACACGCUUCCCUUUACCCCAUAGGGCCUUCUUUCUCAUCAGUUGCAGGGUUUGGUGGCCCGAAAGAAACUUGGCUUCGCCAAAAGGCCUCAUCUCUGGAAGCCCGGCUCGCAAGGCGUCCCUCUCGCUGUAGGGUUCCAAAACUCGCCUCGCUCUUGGGACAUGCUAUCUUUCCCCUCUUGAUUCUCAAGUAAAGGGUGAGUCCCAUGCGUCAGUUUGUGGAUCGCGGUCUCACGCACUAAUCCCUACAGGCGGGUGCCCGUAGUAGGCCGGCCGCCCUACCUAAACCAAUCAUCAUAUCGGUCCCUAAGCCCCAUUGCUGGAAAGGCUCGGCUUCAAAACCGUACGUGGGGCUUCCGCCUCAUACGGCUCCUCUAAGGAUGGAGGUAGGCCCAACCCAGGCUUGCGUGGUUAAGGUUGUUGUACACCUGCCAAUAAGAAAACAUUCAGUUUUCGGGGGGUCGGUGCUCGCGUGUCUGCAGGAGGACACGGAGCCACGAAUUACGUAAAGUAAGGCGGGACUCAUUCUCCUGUUGCCUUACUAAUUCCUGAUCAAGCCCCUGCCUCCAUAUGUUGAGUUGAGCAUCUCGUACCAUAUCCAAGGCGCGAUUGCGCGCCACUUUUCCCUCCAGCUUGUGCACCUCCCAAUCGAUGCGGGCGGCUAGUUCCCGCCCACGGUAGGGAGACCUCUCGUUCUCCAGGUUACGUUGCAUUUCCUGGAUCCGUUGCAGAUCUGAAUGAAAGAGGUGAGGUCAACUCAUCCAAUAGAGGUGCCUCAGAUGGCUAAAUGGAUUAUAUGAAUGCUUAUUCCGCCGGUCGGAAUGCCCGGACUGAGGAAGAUGUGUACGAGGAGCAAAAACGAGAUUCCUAGCCUUCCCUCCCUUUGAAGUGCAUUUAUCAGAUCAGCUCCCAGAGUAACUAGAAAGAGGGUGAAAGGCCCAACUUCUUCAUUCAUGGCCUUUUUUGUUUCUUUGGAUUGAUCUCCCUUUCGUAUUCAUUCGACCUGAGGCAAAAGAGAAGUCAUAUAAAAAAGAAAGGUUCUUUCAUGCAAUGCAUAACGGGUGGGCCUCCUAUGGAUUCCUCUAACUCAAUGAAUGAAGGGAGGAGUAUGAGGAAGGCCGGCUUUCUGGAUGAAAAUGAAAACAAAAAGGAAAAGGGUCAAACCAUAUCUUACUUAAUAAUCUGACUGAAUGACGAAGAGCUCUUUAUGUGGUCUCACUUUACCACCAUCUGAAAUGCGCGAAACUUCGAUUUGUGGAAGCUAGUCCAUGAAGAUUCUCCCUUUUCCUACGUGCACUUCCCCUCUUUUGGUAAGCAUCCAGUAUCUCAGCAAAUGAACAUUUCUCUAAGCUUAUCCUAUAGCUUAUACGUCGUUUGAAAGCUGCUUCAAGGAUCCAACGAAUAGCUAAGGUUUGUUGACGAUCCCUGGCUACAAUCCCAGGGACAUCAUAAAUAGUACCCGCUACUCCUACUUUUGCUACUUCGCAUAUGGGCUUUAUAUUCUCUACGGCGUCAACCAUAAGUUUGAUUACAUCGCGUUCAGUUCGAGCUGGGCGAUGAAAAGUUUGAUAAACAAUAGCACGAACUCUCGUUCUUUUACCUUCUUUCAUGCGAAAAUUGACCAACUUCUUGAUCAAUAGUUUUUGCUCACCAUCCAAGCCCCCCAUAUAGCUGAAAAUUUCCGAGCAAUUGGAAGCCGCUUUCGAUGACGAGGCCGAUAAAUUUAUAUUACGCAAUCGUUACUGUCCAUCUUUAUCAGCCAACUCCCCAGUUUCUAUCUUUCCUUUUAGAGUUUACCACUCUUCAUAGCUUCUUGAACUUUCUUUAGGGUCUUGCUCCCUGAGUUCCAGAGUCUACACUCUCGCGUCAUAUGGCUACGCCCCGGAAUCAUUUUAUACCUCUUCUUUUAGUCGAGUUUGUUUCACAACCUCUCCCAACAAGUGGUCGAGUUCCUUUGUACCUUUCCUUUGACCAAGGGGUCCUCGAACCAACCUGUCCUCCCUCAAUCUCCAAGAAUUACCCUCCCACGCUAAAAAAAAAGUAGCAUUUCCUGGACGUAGGUAGAGUCAAACUCUUUUAAAUAUAUAGACUGGAUUCCAUUUAGAUAUAAGUCAUCAUAUAUAUAUAUGAGUUCAGACAUAUCUGAAUCGUCCACGAGGACGAAAUUUAUAUAUAUAUAUAUAUAUAUAUAUAUAUAUAUAUAUAUAUAUAGGGCUAAUUGUUUUUUUCAGCUCAGGGUUCUUAAUUUUUUUGAGCCGGCCCUGCUUUUCUUGCCAUUUCUAUUGAUGAUAUAGGAAGAUACUCCACCUGAAUAUAAUACACACACAUAACUAUAACCUUUUGUUACAUUCCACGAACUCCAAAUUAUGAAUUACAAGAAACUACUAUUAAUUCAUCAUCAAUAUUGUUUGUUAAAAUAUCUCAACUUACUCAAAAGCUAUAACACUAGUUACCUCCAUGACUAUGCCUCUGACGGUCUCGGCAUGAGCAGGAACAACUUUUUUUUUUUUUUGCUAAAGUGCAAAUAUCAUAUAGAUAAAAAGUUGGUUUUACAACCUAUACAUUGGUUUCUCGGCAAAAAAUAAACAAGAAAUCAAUACAUUUGGGAUUCAAAGCAGUCUCACUGCAGCCAGCGAGUCAUUAGGUUCUUGAACCUUUGCUUGUGUCUUCUAGCAGUGAUUGUAUUCUUUAUCUCCCUAUCAAUGUCCAAGAAGAUCAAAGAAGGCAGGAUGUAGAUUUGAUUAUGAAGGAAGUUGUUCCUCUGUUUCCAUAUGUUGUAGAUUACACAUUGCACCACAAGCUUACGGAGAGUUGGCGGAGACCUGUGAUGCUUGAUCCUAGUCCAAAUCAAUAGCUCCGACCACGUGGUAAAUUCAACCCGAGGCAAGUGAAGUCUGGUGAUAACAGCAUUCCAUAAGAAAAGCGCAAAAUCACAAGUAAUUAACAAGUGGUCUCUGUCCUCAUGAUGGGAAGAGCAAAGGCUACAGAUAGUGUCAAUGUUCAUUCCCCAACGAGCCAAUCUUGAUUUAGUUGGUAGACGAUCGAGAUUAGCGACCCACAUAUUGAAUGCAUGUCUUGGUGUGGCUCCCUUGAACCAAACAGAGUUAAACCAGCUAACCGGAUCUGCUCUAGGUCUCAGCACAGACCAAGUUUUAGAAGAGGAAAAGCCAACGCAGUUCUUAUCCUCUACCACCCAGUCAAAAGAGUCCAACUCCAGAGAAUGAGAAGGAAGACUGAUGGUCGUAAGAUAAACAUGGAGGGACAGAGCAGAUUCAGAUCUCGGAGCAGCCAAGAUCCAUCUUUCAUGGUCGCAUGCUUCAGCGACAGUAGCAUUAAGAGCAACCCUUAAGCUCCUAGGUCCAUCUGGUCCAAUAAACUUAAUAAGUGGCCCGAGACUAGUCCAAUUAUCGAACCAGAAACUUGCCUUUCUUCCAUUACCAACCCUGCACCUGAUGAAAUUUUCUGCCAACCUUCUCAGUUUUAGAAUACAUUUCCAAUUCCAAGAGUCAUUUGCCUUCUCAGUCUGAUUCCAGAAACUUGUAAUGGAGCUGCAGUUGUGAAACCUUUGCCAAGCAACCCACAACGAUCCACUCUCAGAGAAAAGCAGCCAUAUCAUCCUUAGGCAAAGAGUUCUGUUCCAGGAAGCAAAUCUCCUCAGCCCUAACCCUCCUUCUUCCUUUGGUAGACACACUUGAGCCCAAGAAACCUUCGUCAUACCAUGUGAAUCAAUACUACCAGACCAUAAGAACCUAGAGCAGAGUGACUCUAUUUUCCUGAUGCAACCAAGAGGAAGAAUAAAAGCAGAGAUCCAGAAAUUAACAAGACCAGAGAUGACUGAUGAAAUUAAUUGGAUUCUUCCCGCAAAAGAUAAAGACUUUACAGACCAGGCGUUGAAUCUUGCUGUAAUUUUCUCAAUUAACGGCGCAUACUCAGAGAUUUUAAGCUUCCUGCUCAUGAGAGGAAGUCCCAGGUAUCUAAUAGGUAACGACCCUAGAGUGAAUCCGUAGCUUGCCAAAGCAGUGGAUUCACUUAGGCUCAGACCUGCGUGAAACAAUUGAGUUUUUCUUCUAUUCAUAUGCAGCCCUGACCAUCCUACAAAAUCCUCAAGGGUUUCAUAGAUACCAUGCAAAGAAGAACUAUCUCCGCCAAAGAAAAUCAUCACAUCGUCCGCGAACAUAAGGUGAGAAAUCUCCAAUUCAGAGGUUUUGGGAUGGUAAUUGAUGUAGCCAGAUUCAUACCUCGAAUGUAGAAGACCAGAAAACACUUCCAUUGCAAGAAGAAAUAGAUAGGGAGACAGAGAAUCACCUUGUCGCAGCCCCUUAGUACUUCUAAAAAAUCCACCAGUUUGGCCAUUUAUUGAGACAGAGAAGCUAGCAGUAGAAAUACACUCAAAAAUCCAACCAAUAAACCUGCCAGAGAAAUAUAUUGAGCUAUAUAGCUCUAAGGGCAACAAUGAUGAAGUCCCAUCUCAUUGAAUCAAAGGCUUUCCUCAAAUCCACUUUCAACAUUGCACUAGGCCUGACAUCCUUUCUGUUAUAACUUUGAAUGAUCUCAGUUGCAAGAAGAACAUUCUCCAGUAACAAACGACCCGGUAAGAAGGCAGAUUGAGCAUGAUUAACACAAGAAGGGAGAACAGUCUUUAGGCGCCCAUCAAGAAGCUUAGAGAUGACUUUGUAGACCGUGUUAAGACACGAGAUAGGUCUAAAAUCCAUCAUCUUAGAAGCAUUAGGGAUUUUUGGGAUUAAGACCAGAUUGGUAGCAUUCCACUGUUUUAAUAACUUCCCAGACUUAAAGAAUUCCUGCACUGCCUCAGUAACCUCAGAUCCAAUGACAGACCAAGAAGAGCAGAAAAAUUAUGGAGUAUAACCAUCAGGCCCGCUUGCUUUGUUUCUUGGAAGAGAGAAAAAAGCUUCUCUGAUUUCAACAGAGGAGAAGUGAGAGUUCAGAUUGGCUCUCUGUUCAUCAUUGUAUCUGAACCUCAAUAGCAAAGAGAUGUCUUCCUGAAUGAAGGAGGAAGGAUCUUGAUCGCCACCAAAGUUGCAUUUGAAGUACUCCACGUAAAGAUUCUGGAUACCACUUUGAGUAUCGAUUCUAUCUCCAUUAUUGUCCAGCAGGUAGUGAAUAUGGUUCCCAGACUGUCUAGCUGAAGCAAUUUCGUGGAAACACGAAGUAUUUAAAUCACCUUCUCUGAGCCAAGUGACUCUGGAUCUUUGGCAAAAGAAGCUUUCCUCAGCAUUGGAAAGAAUUAACCAUUUCCUGUGCAGCUCAACCUUAAUAUCCACAUUAGUAGGGCUAGGAGACAGAAGCAGAUUUUUCUGGGCAAGGAUCAACUUCUCAUGGGCCUCCUGUGUUCGUUUCUCAAUAUCAGAGUAGUUCAUGUUGCUGAACUCCCAAAUAAUAGAUUUUAGCUCCUUUAAUUUCCGGGAAAGUCUAUACAUUGCAGAACCAUGGACAUUGAAGGAGAACCAGUGAAAACAUACGAGAGGAAGGAACUCUUCACUUUUCAACAAGAAAUUAUAGAAUCUGAAAGGAGAUUUCUUUCUUGGAGAGGCAGUGUCUAGGCUAACUUCACAACGCGCGUGAUCAGAGAAGUCAGGCUCAGAAAACUGACCUAAAGAAGAAGGGAAAAGAGAAGUCCACCAAUCAUUUACAAGAAUGCGGUCGAGCUUUUUAGCAACAAGAGCAUUUCUUCUUUUAUUCCACCAAGUAAAUGUAUUUCCUCUGAAAUUGAGAUCUUCUAAACCAGCUUGAACCAGAGUAUCUCUGAAAAUUCUCGUUGACAUGUCAACAAUGGACCCAUUUACAGUUGAGUGCUCUGACGGGUGAAGAACUUGAUUAAAAUCUCCCAACACUAUCCAAGCUUUACCCCUGACCCGGCUAUCAGCAUACAAAGUAACCAGUUCACCCCAUAGGGACUGGCGGGAAGAAGCUUCAUUUGCAGCAUAGAUGGAAGAAACAACGAUAGUCUCACUGCAAUCUGGCAAUUUUACUUCACAACUGAUCAUCUGAAGAGAUUUACCAAGAACAACUGCUUUGACACUCAGGUGCCACAAAACCCAAAUCUUACCAAUAUCUAAAAAAGUAAUUAUUGUCAAAAGACCAACCCGGAAGCAGAGAGUUGAGAAACUUCUGCUGCUUAGGCUGUUUGACAUGAUUCUCCACGAGACUACCAAAAAGAGGCCGAUGGUUCUUAAACCAUUUUUUUAAACCGCAGCGGUGUGAGGAAGAAUUUAAUCCGCGAAUAUUCUAACAAAAAAUGUCUGUACACAUAAAGAUACUACUUGGAUUUGGGGCCUUUGCCCCUCGCACUUCGUUGUUGCCUCUGAGACAACACUUCUGUGAACUGCACUUCAUCCUCAAGAUCGGUAUCAUCAUCAAUAGAUUGCUCUGAAGGGACAUCAGAGGAGUCUGGUUCUUCCUCUGACGAUGACUUCCCAGCUGCAAGUUGAAUUGCCUUACCUUUCCCUUUAGCUUCCAAUGCUAAUCCGCGACCCUUAGGAGCAGGCACAGCCUGAGGAUGACUUGAACUAGAACUUGGCUUACUACCACUCUGGGAGGCAGGAGGAAUCUGAGAGGCCUUGGGAUCAAUAGAAAGAGGCUUGCUCCUAGACCCUACCACAACCCACUCUCCUUCUUUAGCAACAGGCUUAGGAGUUUUAGAGCGCCUUCUCCUGUGCUGGACCUUUUCAGUUUGCACCUUAUUUAUGGGACAAGCCUCCGGAGUAUGAGAUUUGGAAUUGCAGCCUUUGCACUGAAUAGGGGCAGCGGGACAUCUUUUGAGACUGUGGCCUACUUCCUUACAGUGACUACACACUGGCGGCAUCCAUAGACUAGAAACUUUGAUCCUGCAAAUAUCUCCAGAAGCAAACUUCACAUUAACAGCUUCGGGAAGCGGUUGCCGCGGAUCAAUAAUUGUGAAGACCUUAGCCACUUCCAAAUUUCGCUUGCUAGCCGUAUCCGGAUGGAGGAAUUUCGGGUCUCCCACAGGGCUUGCUAUUUGUUCCAACCCAUCGUCAUUGAAGAAUUGGAAAGGAACCUUUCGCAGCUCAAGCCAAACUGGAGUAGUGGUGAGCUCAGGCUUCGUUGGAACAACUCUUGGUUCCCACUUGGCCACAAACAUAGUUUGGCCUUCGAUCUUCCAGAGCCGUUGAUUCAGGACCCGAGUUCUUGUUUGGACAUUAGGAAUGCGAAACAAGAAAGCGUUACCCUCCCAUUUUGAUACAGAAAUAUCUUUGAAGUGCUUGCUCCAAAUACCAUACACAAUGGUGUGGAUAGUACCUUGCGCCGGAGGAUCCGAAUAAAACUGCCCUAGGAUAAAAGAAUCCCAAGCCUUCCGAUGCUUCUCUAUAAUCGCAUCAGGAAUCUCAACACACAAUUCACCCGAUGGAAGAGUGAAAGCUGUUCCUUUCUUGCGGAGCUUCUUCGAGGUGCCUUUGAACAUAUCACACCAACUGUCUUCCUCUGAAGAAGCUUUAAUUUCGAGUACACCUGGGUUCACCACAAUAACCUCGACGGGUGCGGUUUGCGCAGGAAUUUUGGAGAGAUUCGAGUCCAAGGACGGAACCGCUGCAAUAGGGGCUGAGGUAGACGAAUGCACGGCGGGAGCCACCACUACCUCAGAAACUUGACCUAAAAGGUCUAGAUCUGACAUCGAAAUCAGUGCCGAGGAAGGAGAAUCAACCGGAUUAGUCUGCGGGGCAGAAACUAGAUCGAUUGAAACCGGAGGAGGGACAACGUAGACUUGGAUCGGAGAGCUCUGCAUUGAGCCUGAGCCGGCUGGAACGGAGGCUGAAGGGGAGGAAGAGUCUUUGGUCGCCGGUGACUUUCCUCCAGGAGAACCUUUUUGAGACGAUUUUGCUUCCCCAUGAGGAGGGGAGGGCCUGAGAGAUCGGAAGAAAGGAGGAGCCGGCGCCGUUGAAGACGCCGAAGAUGAGCUGAGAACGAAACCACCUUAUCGCCCUGUUGAGGAGAGAGAAACGCGUUUUUUUUUUUUUUUACCAACUCUCACUUGAAAAUCACCAAGUUGAUACUGAAACCCUUCAAAGUAAAACGAGAGCUUGCAUUUGUAAGACUCAAGGUUCUCCAUGAUCAUUUGAAUCGACGAAUCUGCAUCUACGACGAUCCUCUGCGAUCUGACGACGAAGUAGUACUUACUUGACUCCUUUGGAAGCGAAACCCCUAGAAAUUCACGCGGGAACUCCGCUUGAUUUGCCUGGUCUCGCAACAUGGGUUUGUAAUAGUUGAGAGUGGCUUUCCAUUUUCCUUCUUUGACCCCAUUGAGGCUCUCUAUGCUUUGUGUAACUUUGUUUAGAAUUUGACUACUUAGUGUUGAUCCUUGAUUUGGUUGCCGCCAAUGCAAAAGCCUAGAAAACCCCCAAAGAAGAUAGAAAACAAGGUUUACGUAACAAUUUCUAUAUAAAAGAACAAUUACAAGAAUGCUUCUUCAAUUUCUAUAAUCAUCAAACGUACCAUUUGACGGGCAUGGCUUGAUGAGCUACAAAAAGUCACACGGAGAACAAAAUUAAACAAAAAUUGUCUCUGUUAAUCCUUAUCUAAUAAUUCACAAGUCACUUCUCUGUUAACUGCAACUAUCUCCAUUUGAUACCUGGCUAAGUCCCAAAAUUUCACCUUUCACUUUUUUAAAAAUAAAUAAACUUUGCUUUUAAAUAGAAAAAAAAAAGAAUUUACGAUAGAAUUUUUUUGACAAAAAAAUAAAUAUCAACUGCUCCUUUCCACGAUCUUAAGAUUCUUUUCCCUUUCUCUCCCCAUUUACGAUCUCAGUGGCAACCGUAUAAACCAUUCUGUAAAAACAGAUGUAAUAACUUCUUCUUCUUCUUCUCUCUUUUCUUAUAACCUUAGAUCCUCCAUUCUUUCUUCUAAAUAGUCUAACAAAGAAUCGAACGGAUGACGUAAACAAUGAAAGUUGAGACUUUUGUGAUGCCUAAUGUGAUGGACGAUGUUAACUUCCUACAACGUACUACGUUCGGUCCACCUAAUCGCUGGUAUGCAUAUCAUUAAAUCUUUGGCUUUGCUUUCCAGAUUUGUUGCGUUUUACUUGGUCUAUCUUCUUACACUUUCUAUGCACACCAGCUGCUCGACAAAAUGACCACACGAGUUUGCAAAAAUCAUAUAGAAACAAAAUGGAUGCAGCUUGAAUCAAUUGUAUGAACGUGGAAUUCUGCCAACAAUUUUGUAUAGAGAAACAACAAAACAGCAAAUGUUUUGGGGCUUUCAAUUCAAAAGAAGAAGAAGAAAAAAAUAAUUUGAGAGAUGGGUGGCAUGACAUGGCAUCUUCUUCCACGGUGUAGUGUGCAAAAGAAUUUAAAUGUGAAACCAUCUUAUAUGUUCAAGUUUCAAAAGCGUUUUGAUACGAAGGUAAUUCAUUUUUCCAUCAUUACUAUUGUUAGGUUUGGAGAAGAAAAAUAGUUCCGUAUAGCUUUUCUUCCUCAUCUAUUCUUUCUCUUUUUUACUGUAUAUUUGCCUGUUUCAAAAUACAAUGAAAAUUUCCUUAAUUUUUACACCUAUAUAUCACGAUUUGGGUGAAGUUGAGGUCUUGAGGAGGAUUUCUAUUGAGAGUUACAGAGCAAUUUGUAAUAUAUUCAAUCAAUAUAUUAAGAUAAAAUAAAACUAAAUAAAUUGUAUUUUGUGACAUUCUUCAUUGGUAUAAUGGUUGCAAAUUUUUUUUUUUUAAAAAACAAAAUAUACUAUUGGUAUUGUUGUUUUCCCGUGCAAAGCACGGGCUGGUACUAGUUUACAAUAAUACAAAAAGUGACACAAAUAGUCAUGAAAGAAACGUUUGGCAACUACAUGAAAGAAACGUCAUCACAUAGUCACACAUGCAGAAUUUAAAAAUGUUUUGUUAGCUACACGAAGUAUUGUCAUCCAUACGGACAUCCCCGAACUAACAUAAGUCAUGUUGCAAACACCAUAACCAUCCAUUUCCAGUGCUUCAAUUGUCGGAAUCCAGCGUUGACCGAUGUUGACCAGCGUGACCAAAAAUAUUUUUUUUCGUUUUUAUUUACUUUUGAUAAACAAUUAAAAAUAAUAAAUUAUUACAUAGUUUUUAUUCAAAUAUAAAAAUAUACCAAAAUAAAUAUACCACAAAAAAUUAUACAAAAAAAUUUUGGUAUAUGUAUUUGUAAUAUAACUAAAUAUACCACAAAAUAGACCACAAUUUGUUUUUGUGCUAUAUUUUGUUAUACAAUUUCGGUAAUAUAACAAAAUAUACAUUUUACAUUUGGAAAUCAUUUUUUAUGGUAUUCAACAUCGAACAAUCGAGAAGAAAAAUAUUAUCUUAUGGUAAAAAGUGAUUGCCAAAAGGAAAAGGCAUAUUUUGUUAUAUUACCGAAAUUUUACUAAUAAAAUAUACUACAAAAUAGUAUAAAAAAUAAACCAAAAAGAAAAGGUAUAUUUUAUUAUAUUACCAAAAUUUUAGAACAAAAUAUAGCACACAAAACAUUUGUGGUUUAUUUUGUUAUAUUAGUUUUUUAGUAA
This 24559-nucleotide long non-coding RNA is filed under the name Arabidopsis lyrata. Its description in RNAcentral is "long non-coding RNA (ALYR_LNC001374)". The record is from RNAcentral. Lineage: Eukaryota; Viridiplantae; Streptophyta; Magnoliopsida; Brassicales; Brassicaceae.